This 253-nucleotide ribosomal RNA is filed under the name uncultured bacterium. RNAcentral's name for it is "partial 16S ribosomal RNA". It matches the Rfam family "Bacterial small subunit ribosomal RNA", at positions 524 to 776 of the family's 1533-position model. The record is from RNAcentral.
UACAGAGGUCUCAAGCGUUGUUCGGAUUCAUUGGGCGUAAAGGGUGCGUAGGCGGCGCGGUAAGUCGGGUGUGAAAUCUCGGAGCUUAUCUCCGAAACUGCAUUCGAUACUGCCGUGCUUGAGGACUGGAGAGGAGACUGGAAUUUACGGUGUAGCGGUGAAAUGCGCAGAUAUCGGGAGGAACACCGGUGGCGAAGGCGGUUCUCUGGACAGUUCCUGACGCUGAGGCACGAAGGUCAGGGGAGCAAACGGG